Molecule: unclassified non-coding RNA, 364 nt
Filed under: uncultured fungus
Lineage: Eukaryota; Fungi
Description: sequence contains ITS1
Rfam family: 5.8S ribosomal RNA (bases 1-107)
Source: RNAcentral
GAAAUGCGAUACCUGGUGUGAAUUGCAGAAUCCCGCGAACCAUCGAGUCUUUGAACGCAAGUUGCGCCCGAGGCCACUCGGCCGAGGGCACGCCUGCCUGGGCGUCACGCCAAAACACGCUCCCACACCCCUCAUUGGGAAUCGGGAUGCGGCAUCUGGUCCCUCGUCUCGCAAGGGGCGGUGGACCGAAGUUCGGGCUGCCGGCGUACCGUGUCAAACACAGCGCGUGGUGGGCGUCUUUGCUUUAUCAACGCAGUGCAUACGACGCGUAGCCGGCAUGAUGGCCUCAAAACGACCCAACAAACGUAGCGCACGUCGCUUCGACCGCGACCCCAGGUCAGGCGGGACUACCCGCUGAGUUUAA